Molecule: long non-coding RNA, 531 nt
Organism: Microplitis mediator
Lineage: Eukaryota; Metazoa; Arthropoda; Insecta; Hymenoptera; Braconidae
Exons: 2
Source: RefSeq, a predicted model, not a curated record
CAAUGUUAGCCGAAAUUACAAAAUACUGUUUACUCAAGCAUAAUAAUACUCGAAUAGAUGGAAAAACACGGGAUUUAAUUUUUAUAUUAUUGUUCUGAUAGAAGAGUAUAAAUAUCCGCAUCUCGAGCUGCAUCUGUUAAUAAUCCAGUGGAUUGCAAUUACUGUUAAAGACGAUUUGUAUUUUCUCUGACAACAAAAUGUCGAAAUUAAUUCUAUUGGUUUUUUUAAUCGGAUUUCUAGCCGUCACUACUGAAGCCUGUGCUGCUAAAAAUGCAUGGUGUCACCCAGUCGCCGGCUACAAAUGUUGCGACGAUGGUUGGUUUUGUGACAACGGUUCGUUCUCCCAAGGACUCUGUAAAACAUCAAACGUUACAAUUAUCUAUGGUUAAUGAUAAUAAUCUUCAUGUUUGUCUUCAUAAUCCAGGUCUAUUCAACGAUGGAAAAUGAAAUGCAAUUUUGGUAUAAAAUAUUAUUUUAUCCGCACGAAAAAAUUAUCAUGGAAAUUUAAAUAAAAAAAAUAUAUUCAGAAAA